GGAAGGGCAGAGGAAUGCGAGGGCGGAGGAGGCGGCAGCCGCGCUCCCCGCGGAGAGCCCCGGGGUGCCGAGCGGUAACACCCCCGCCGUGCGCUCCCCCCCCCGGCUCACCCCAGGGGACGGAGUGCCUCCAGGAGCCCCGAGCACGGCGGGGGCGAGCUCCUUCACACCACCUCUGGCCACGAAACGUCUCUCCAUCACACCUCACACCCUUUCACAGAAGGUUUAGGAGAUACUCCAUCUCUGGAAACACAGCGGCACAUCUGCGCUCAGCCCUUAAUAACCGGGCUGCCUGCCGGAGGGGAGAGCUCCCUGAAGAAAGAUGCUUUUCAAAGCUGUCUCUCCUCAGCGCAAGAUUUAAAAAAUGAAAAAAAAAAAAAAAAUUCUUUGCCGCCUUCUCCCCCAGGACCCGUCCAAACUCUUUAAAAAUGGUUUUUGUUUGCUGAAGUCAGCUUUCUGCUCUCAAGCUUUUAAGGAGAACGAAUGCCACGCGCGGAGUCAGUUCUCCCCUCGGCUGCAUCCCCCUUUCCCUUUGAAGUCAGCUGGGGUGUGCAGAGGAGUGCUGGGGGCGGUUAUACUUCGCGUAGCUCCCUGCCUUCAGCCCUCGGAGCGGCGGUGGUGCGGACACCUCGGUGUGAACUACGGCGCUGAGAGCGCAGACGGAGCGAGGAGGGAGAGGAGCCGUCCCCGGGGUGAAGACGCUGCGGGAGGGCUCUGCUCUCAGUCCAACGGUGGGGGCUGCGCGGAAGACGCGGCAGUGGCUCCGAGUCCGGGGUUGCCUCCGCAGCGGGGAGAGCUGCCGUAGGUGUACGGCCUCUCCGGGCUGUAGGGAGGGAGCGAGUGGCGCCGCCGUCGAGGCAGUUCUCGGGACGUGUGUGUCCCCCGGGCGGGCAUCCGCGCUCCUACGGUCUCACUGCAAAAAGCCCCACUGCUGUGCUGCUGCUGCUGGGAGCUGGAGUUUUACGGUUUUACGGGCACAUGAGAUGCUCCUUGUCCUCGGCACCCCUAGGGUUUACUAGCUGCCUUUAAAGAGGGACGUUUGUUGGGAUAAAAGUGGAUUGCAGACUGCAAGAGCGUUGCAUGUGUCUUUCAUUUAAAAGACACCGAGAGCUCCGGGUUUUUUUUUUGUUUUUUUUUUUCUUGUUUUUUUUUUUUUUUUUCUUCUUUCUUUCUUUUUCCCUCCCCCAAGGCAUUUAGUGCUUUUAAGGCACAGUUAUAAACAAGCUGCCGGAACGCCGGCACACGGAGAUGCGGGCGGUGGGGCCGAGAAGGGAGGGGGAGAGCAGGGAGAGCAUCUGUUUCCUCGGGUCUGCAGCAGACUUUGCUCCUAAAGGUGCAAGGCGGAAAAUGCUGCUUCUUCA
Molecule: long non-coding RNA, 1361 nt
Filed under: Phasianus colchicus (ring-necked pheasant)
Lineage: Eukaryota; Metazoa; Chordata; Aves; Galliformes; Phasianidae
Description: lncRNA (ENSPCLG00000002280.1)
Source: RNAcentral